GGUACCAAUCUCUAGUACCCCGCGAUUCAACGUCGACAUUUUCGGCCUAUCAGUUGACGAGGCAAUUUGGGUUUUUGAUAGGUUACUGGAAAACCAACAUAACUACACCUACGACUAUCAAGAACCGAAGGACGUACAGAGAUAUAAAUGGGAGUCGGCAUACCCGAAUGUAGAUGUGGCAAGGGGAAGAUGGAGUUGCGUCGUGCAGGAAAACGGCUACCAAUGCAGGACGCUACUACUUCAAAUGUCCCGACAAACUCAACCAUGUUGGAUCAUUUCAGUGGUACAACAAGGCUGAACAGGGGAUGGGACAGGGAGGGAAAAUGGUCGUACAAGGUCAGGGACAACCAGUUAUGGCUGAAGAACAGAGAUCUUAUGCCAAUUUCAGUGCGGGUGAAUAUAAAGGAGGUGGCCAUUGCUGCCGCGCUUCAACCCCGAACGAUUUGAAGACCCUAAUGCAACUUGGGUUCAUGGCCGUCGUGUUGGUAGUAGUGGGAAUAGUUAUAGGCAGGUUUCUGUGAACUGCUUCUUAUUCAGCCUAGGAUGGCACUUAUGUGUUGUGUCAAUGGCGGAUCCAGGAACAAAUUAUCGUGGGGUCGAACAAGAUAGUAAAUAUUUAUUUAAAAUAAUUGUUUAAAUUAAUUAUUUUUA
Long non-coding RNA from Salvia splendens (bonfire salvia), 651 nucleotides. RefSeq lists it as uncharacterized. NCBI's taxonomy places the organism in Eukaryota, Viridiplantae, Streptophyta, Magnoliopsida, Lamiales, Lamiaceae. The record is from RefSeq and is a predicted model, not a curated record. The transcript has 2 exons.